UUCAAUAGUUUCACAUAGAAACUGCAUUAAAAAAAGGACCCUCUAUUUUUCUCAAUUUUUCACGUUAAAGGUUACCCUUUCUCCAUCAGUUUCACACACUAUUUCAUCAUCGAAAAAUUUCAAUUCUCCUCUCACACACAACUCUCAUAAAUCUGAGGAAAUUCGUUCAAGAAAAUGAGUCAAAUCCCUUCUCCAGAUCUCAAGUUCUUCAAAUGUUUUGAGGUAAAAUUGCGAGUGGCUAAAGAAUGGAAAUUCUGUAUUCUUAAAUCUUGGCAAACUUUGGCAGGAUCAAGCUUGAGAACUCCUGGGAAAUCAUAAGCAAAUUACUUUUGAUGUAGUAGCCCAAGGAGAAAUACAGAAUCUAGUUGAUGAGCAUGAUUCCACUAUCAAUUACCAUCUCAGAGAGAAGCAAAUCAACCAGCUGACAAACUUAUUUUGAUCAUCCUUAUAACAGAUAUAAAUCAUGUCUAUUAUACCAAGGAAUUCAGAUGCGAUGGUCAAAAUACUUAGUUAUUAUUAUAUUUGAGCAUUGAUAUUUAUAAUAUAUAAUCUAUAUCUCUAAUCUCUAUC
Molecule: long non-coding RNA, 570 nt
Organism: Capsicum annuum
Lineage: Eukaryota; Viridiplantae; Streptophyta; Magnoliopsida; Solanales; Solanaceae
Exons: 3
Source: RefSeq, a predicted model, not a curated record